RNAcentral lists this small nuclear RNA (98 nucleotides) under Angiostrongylus costaricensis. The record is from RNAcentral. Lineage: Eukaryota; Metazoa; Nematoda; Chromadorea; Rhabditida; Metastrongylidae.
GUCGCUUCUGAACACGUGCUAAAAUUGGAGAAAUACAGCGAAGAUAAGCAUAGCCCUUGCGCUAGGAUUAUUCAGGACGAGAGAUAACGCAAUGUGUA